CCUACGGGGGGCAGCAGUGAGGAAUAUUGGUCAAUGGGCGGAAGCCUGAACCAGCCAAGUAGCGUGCGGGAUGAAGGCCCUACGGGUCGUAAACCGCUUUUGCACGGGGAUAACACCCUCCACUUGUGGAGGUCUGCAGGUACCGUGCGAAUAAGGGCCGGCUAAUUCCGUGCCAGCAGCCGCGGUAAUACGGAAGGCCCGAGCGUUAUCCGGAUUCAUUGGGCUUAAAGGGAGCGUAGGUGGAUUGUUAAGUCAGUUGUGAAAGUUUGCGGCUCAACCGUAAAAUUGCAGUUGAAACUGGCAGGCUUGAGUACAGUAGAGGUGGGCGGAAUUCGUGGUGUAGCGGUGAAAUGCUUAGAUAUCACGAAGAACUCCGAUUGCGAAGGCAGUUCACUGGACUGCAACUGACACUGAGGCUCGAAAGUGUGGGUAUCAAACAGGAUUAGAUACCCCGGUAGUC
RNAcentral lists this ribosomal RNA (460 nucleotides) under uncultured bacterium. Its description in RNAcentral is "partial 16S ribosomal RNA". It matches the Rfam family "Bacterial small subunit ribosomal RNA", at positions 338 to 795 of the family's 1533-position model. The record is from RNAcentral.